AUUGAACGCUGGCGGCAUGCUUUACACAUGCAAGUCGAACGGUAACAGGAAGCAGCUUGCUGUUUCGCUGACGAGUGGCGGACGGGUGAGUAAUGUCUGGGAAACUGCCUGAUGGAGGGGGAUAACUACUGGAAACGGUAGCUAAUACCGCAUAACGUCGCAAGACCAAAGAGGGGGACCUCCGGGCCUCUUGCCAUCGGAUGUGCCCAGAUGGGAUUAGCUAGUAGGUGGGGUAACGGCUCACCUAGGCGACGAACCCUAGCUGGUCUGAGAGGAUGACCAGCCACACUGGAACGGAGACACGGUCCAGACUCCUACGGGAGGCAGCAGUGGGGAAUAUUGCACAAUGGGCGCAAGCCUGAUGCAGCCAUGCCGCGUGUAUGAAGAAGGCCUUCGGGUUGUAAAGUACUUUCAGCGGGGAGGAAGGGAGUAAAGUUAAUACCUUUGCUCAUUGACGUUACCCGCAGAAGAAGCACCGGCUAACUCCGUGCCAGCCGCCGCCGUAA
This 506-nucleotide ribosomal RNA is filed under the name uncultured bacterium. RNAcentral's name for it is "partial 16S ribosomal RNA". It matches the Rfam family "Bacterial small subunit ribosomal RNA", at positions 30 to 523 of the family's 1533-position model. The record is from RNAcentral.